This is a small nucleolar RNA of Danio rerio (zebrafish), 127 nucleotides long. The record is from Ensembl. NCBI's taxonomy places the organism in Eukaryota, Metazoa, Chordata, Actinopteri, Cypriniformes, Danionidae.
AUAUACUGAAAAUUAUUUCAGUUGUAACCAUCAACUGGAGUAAGAUAACUGUGCCGACAGAAAAUGGUACAUUUUAAGCUUAUUGUCUGUCACUUUGACACGCAAUGAAACCCAUGUGCCAACAGUU